UACGUAGGGGGCAAGCGUUGUCCGGAAUCAUUGGGCGUAAAGGGCGCGUAGGCGGGCAUAUAAGUCUGAUGUGAAAGUGCGGAGCUUAACUCCGUAAAGCAUUGGAAACUGUGUGUCUUGAGGACAGGAGAGGAAAGUGGAAUUCCUAGUGUAGCGGUGAAAUGCGUAGAUAUUAGGAGGAACACCAGUGGCGAAGGCGACUUUCUGGACUGUAACUGACGCUGAGGCGCGAAAGCGUGGGGAGCGAACA
Molecule: ribosomal RNA, 250 nt
Filed under: uncultured bacterium
Lineage: Bacteria
Also listed under: 1 other name
Description: partial 16S ribosomal RNA
Rfam family: Bacterial small subunit ribosomal RNA
Source: RNAcentral